Molecule: long non-coding RNA, 1818 nt
Filed under: Ananas comosus (pineapple)
Lineage: Eukaryota; Viridiplantae; Streptophyta; Magnoliopsida; Poales; Bromeliaceae
Description: long non-coding RNA (ACOM_LNC014781)
Source: RNAcentral
AACCAACUAUCUAGAACUUUAAUCACAAACUAUUUUGGCUAAAUUACAUAAAACCCCCAGUCAAUACUCACUUUUUCAUUUUUUCCAACUGUCAUUUAAAAAUCUAUAUUUUGCCCCCUUGUAAAAUAAAAAAUAUUCACUUCACUACCUACCGUUAGUGCUCUCCAUUAGGGUUCCAUUUAUAAAAUACUAUUAUAUUUUUUUUUUAUACAAAAAUUACUCUCAGCCUCCUUUUCUCAACGUUGCCGCCUAUUUCCUCGCCGCCUCGCCCUUCUUCGCUGCCUCACCCUCGCCCACAUCUUUGUUCGCGCCCACAAACACCUCCUCGCCCUACUCCUCCGCCUCGCCUACGCCGUCGCUUUUUCUCACUUCUCCAUCCACGCCCAUCUCGAUUUCCUCCCUACUGUCACCGAAAGGGAGGGGCGACGAGGGUGCAGGAGGAGAAGGGGAGAAGAUAGAGAAGAAAAUGAAGACUAACAACGGGCAAUCAAGACGUGAAAAAUAGAAAAUGAGAGGCGGCAAAUGAGCAAGAUUGGGAUGGAGAUGGAGAUGGUAAGGGCCAAAUUAGUCAUCAUAUUUUAACACCAAACUCUCCUGUGAAUAUUUUUCAUUUUACAAGGGGGCAAAGUGUAGAUUUUUAAAUGACAGGGAGGAAAGUGAAAAAGUGAAUAUUGACAGAGGAGUUUUAUGUAAUUUAGCCAACUUUUUUUUCCUCACAUUCUAUCUACAAUGAUAUAAGAUUGGUGAAUUGAGUAUUUGUACUAAUUUUAAUUUUUGUUUGCUUUUGUAGGAUGAAUAUUGUCUGAUGCUAAUUUGGUGGAAAUCCUGAAGCAGUUGAGUUCUAUUUAUAUAACUCUUUUUAUCACAUUUUGUCUAUGGCUACAUAUGCAUUACCAGAAGGCAUACUUUUCAACUGAAAGCAAUAUAUACACUAUAAGAGUAGAGUAAUGCAUUUAAAGACCUCAAUAAUUCACUGCUAAUUUAAAAGUGAUUAAAUUUUCGUUUGUUCCUAUUAUUCUCACUUAUACAAUAGUAGAGAAUUUUUUAUUUCUUGAUUGGGAUUAGCAUUGUUGAUUGAAGUUUAUUACUGUUGAAAUAUUUAAAAAUUUAUUGUUCAUUAUUGUAAAGUUUUCGUAUUGACGUGUUUAUUUGGUAUUUCAUAAUUUACAUAUAAUUUGGUGUAUCGGCAGUUUGUCACGCCCCGGAGCCGUUUUAGAAGCCUUUUUAUAAAAAAUACUAUUUUUAGAAACGAGAGUAGCGAAAAACGUGCCUUUUUUUAUUUCCACAUGGCCCACGUGGCAUACAGACCCGCAACAAAUAUAAAGUUCCUGACCACACGGACGGAGUCCCUUUCAUAUUAGCACGGCAUACCAAUAACAACACCAGGAUCACAAUAACAACCUACAUUUACCAAUCCACAAGCAAUUUAUGCGAUAUAUUUUCAUAUAGCUAACGAUCCUUAGAGAUGAUGCAUGUCUCUAAACACUUAUUAGGCGCGGGAUGAUGCGAUGCACAAUACAACAAUCAUCCUAUUUAAAAAUGCUCCCCAUCCGGAAACUUUAUUUUUAAACUUUAUUUAAUCAUCUAUAAAAAUCAUUCGAAAAUCUUUUAAAACUAUUUUUCACUCGAAAACUCCAUUUUUGAAAACCGACUAUCUCGAUAGGUAGAAAACCACAACGUAUAAAUCCAAAUACCAAAGAUCUAUAAAGCUUCGAUUGCGUGCAUAACAGAGAUCACCAACUCAUACAGGUUUACGACUAUUCAAACAGUAAUAGUGAUCAUCUAACUGAACCAUUUAUUAUUUAAAUUACUAAAUGU